Molecule: ribosomal RNA, 744 nt
Filed under: Candidatus Regiella insecticola
Lineage: Bacteria; Pseudomonadati; Pseudomonadota; Gammaproteobacteria; Enterobacterales; Enterobacteriaceae
Description: bacterial SSU rRNA
Rfam family: Bacterial small subunit ribosomal RNA
Source: RNAcentral
CGGGUGAGUAAGUCUGGGGAUCUGGCUUAUGGAGGGGGAUAACCAUUGGAAACGGUGGCUAAUACCGCAUGAUGUCGCAAGACCAAAGUGGGGGACUUUAGGGCCUCACGCCAUAAGAUGAACCCAGAUGAGAUUAGCUAGUAGGUGCGGUAAUGGCGUACCUAGGCGACGAUCUCUAGCUGGUCUGAGAGGAUGACCAGCCACACUGGAACUGAGAGACGGUCCAGACUCCUACGGGAGGCAGCAGUGGGGAAUAUUGCACAAUGGGCGGAAGCCUGAUGCAGCCAUGCCGCGUGUGUGAAGAAGGCCUUAGGGUUGUAAAGCACUUUCAGCGGGGAGGAAGGCGGUAAGAGUAAUAUGCUUAUCGAUUGACGUUACCCGCAAAAGAAGCACCGGCUAACUCCGUGCCAGCAGCCGCGGUAAUACGGAGGGUGCGAGCGUUAAUCGGAAUAACUGGGCGUAAAGGGCAUGUAGGCGGUAAGUUAAGUCAGAUGUGAAAUCCCCGAGCUUAACUUGGGAACGGCAUUUGAGACUGGCUGGCUAGAGUUUUGUAGAGGGGGGUAGAAUUCCAGGUGUAGCGGUGAAAUGCGUAGAGAUCUGGAGGAAUACCGGUUGCGAAGGCGGCCCCCUGGACAAGGACUGACGCUGAGGUGCGAAAGCGUGGGUAGCAAACAGGAUUAGAUACCCUGGUAGUCCACGCUGUAACGAUGUCGAUUUGGAAGUUGUGGCCUAGUGUUAUGGCGU